This 522-nucleotide ribosomal RNA is filed under the name uncultured bacterium. RNAcentral's name for it is "partial 16S ribosomal RNA". It matches the Rfam family "Bacterial small subunit ribosomal RNA", at positions 28 to 507 of the family's 1533-position model. The record is from RNAcentral.
GAUGAACGCUGGCGGCGUGCCUAAUACAUGCAAGUCGAACGCUUUGUCUUUAAUUGAUAUGAAGAGCUUGCUCUGAUUUGAUUUUAUCUGACAAAGAGUGGCGAACGGGUGAGUAACACGUGGGUAACCUACCUCUUAGCAGGGGAUAACAUUUGGAAACAAGUGCUAAUACCGUAUAACACUAACAACCGCAUGGUUGUUAGUUGAAAGAUGGUUCUGCUAUCACUAAGAGAUGGACCCGCGGUGCAUUAGCUAGUUGGUAAGGUAAUGGCUUACCAAGGCGAUGAUGCGUAGCCGAGUUGAGAGACUGAUCGGCCACAAUGGGACUGAGACACGGCCCAUACUCCUACGGGGGGCAGCAGUAGGGAAUCUUCCACAAUGGGCGCAAGCCUGAUGGAGCAACGCCGCGUGUGUGAUGAAGGGUUUCGGCUCGUAAAACACUGUUAUAAGAGAAGAACGACAUUGAGAGUAACUGUUCAGUGUGUGACGGUAUCUUACCAGAAAGGAACGGCUAAAUACGUG